Long non-coding RNA from Hemicordylus capensis (graceful crag lizard), 3329 nucleotides. RefSeq lists it as uncharacterized. The transcript has 2 exons. The record is from RefSeq and is a predicted model, not a curated record. NCBI's taxonomy places the organism in Eukaryota, Metazoa, Chordata, Lepidosauria, Squamata, Cordylidae.
CAGCAGCAGCCGUGGUUAGGGGGUGGGUGGGGUGGGGGCUUCACCCAAGGAAAGCCCUUCGGGAGAACUGUGCGGCGCCUGCUGCGCUUGCAUGGAGAGCGUGGGGAGGCAGGCUGCGCGCGCAGCUCGGGGGUCCAGGCAGGGUUGCUUUCUGGCUCACGGGCUGGACCCGCUCCUCCGCCUGCCACCUGCAAAAGCACCUGCGCAUGCUCAGCAGCGAGAGUGCGUGAGCGAGACUCCUGUAGCCUCGACUAGGCAAAACCUCGACAGACAUCCAUGCUGCACGUGGGGACCCUCCUCCUCCUCCUGGGGACGGACCCUGUUCCCUCCCAAGCUGCACGGAAUGGAGGCGGGGAACACACCGGGGGGCCCUUUGCUGUUCUCCCAGGCUCGGGGCGCCCUUCAGCUGUGCAAAGUCUCUUAGCCCCGAGAUCGGGGACUGUCUUUGGCCAGAGGGGUGUGUGUGUGUGGGGGGGGUGUGGAGUGAAGAUUUGGGGAGGCUGGAGAAGGAGCCCGCCUGCCAUAAAGAGGCAGCUGUGGAAAGCGAUUCCCAACCUUGGGUUCCCCGGUGUUCUUGGACUUCAACUCCCAGAAUCCCCAGCCCCAAUGGCCUAUGGUUGGGGAUUGUGGGAGUUGAAGUCCAAUAACGUCUGAGGACCCAGCGUUGGGAAUCCCUGCUCCAGACAGCCAAUGCCUCCUUGUCUGGGCGCUGCCCCGCACCCCCCCUCCUCGUCACGUGGCCCAAAGGAGGAGGAGGCUCCCCUCCUCUCCUGGCAAAAAAUCCCCGGCUAGCUUAUCACAGAACCAUCCUUUAACUGGUGAUUCUCUUCAUUGAGCAGGAGGAGAGCAACUGGCCCUCUCCACCCCCUCACAGCAUCCCUCCAGUGGUUGCCGCUGGUGUCUAUCUUGUGUUUCUUUUUUAGAUUGUGAGCCCUUUGGGGACAGGCGGCCAUCUUAUUUAUUGAUUCUUUCUCUGUGUAUACCGCCCUGAGCCCUUUUUGGAAGAGCGGUAUAGAAAUCGAGUAAAUAAUAAUUCAUAAUAAAAAUGAUAAUGAUGGGGGCGGAGCCCAGGAGUUGGCGGAGAGAGGCGAGGGCCUGACGUCACCGGCUCCGCGCCAUCGGGGAGGAAGGAGCCAAUGGCCGCCAAGGUCACGCCCCUUCCCCCCGUCGCCGGGUGACGUCAGAAGCCAGCGCCCAGGGCCUGUCAGUCUCUAGGGAGAGGCGGGGCGCCUCGUGUCGGUCGGAGCUUCCGCUUCUGCCACCUCCUCGGUGCCCGCCGGGAUGGCGCUGCGGCUGCCGCUGGAGAAGGCGGCCUGGCGCCGGGUCGAGACGGUGCCCGCCUCCCGCGUCGCCCUCCGGCCUUGCCCCCGCGGAGCCCGCAGGCGGAUGUGGCCUUGUGAGGAGGAAUCUCACUGUGAACCACACGUUUCAAGGAAGGGCUUUUUGAACCAGGAUGCAGCCUGCAGCUACGCUUAGGAACAUGGCAGCUGGCAAAAGUGGUGCUGCAACCCCUUCUGUGCUGCUGACACACAAGAGAAAAACCUUCUUUCCAUCCUGGGCCUUUUGCCCAAGAAAUCUCAAGUACCUAGAACUUAUGUGCAAAGCAUUUCUAAAUGGAAGAAGUGAAAACUCCACCAGCUCUUUACUCACUAAAUACUUUUUGUUGCCUCUGUGUAUCUCUUGUUGGACUCCCCUUGAAGCUAAAGAUGUGAAAUGCCAUUUGUACCCUGGGUCUCUCACCAAACAACUCUCAAGCCUGCAAAGUUUCUUGGCAAAGCAAAGCGUCUCUAGUUGGAAGAAGUGACAGCCCCAGAAGUCACCAAUCCUGAUGUUUCACUUUGGGAAACUUGAGUGAAAUGUUAGUUGGCCUUAUUGUCUAAUCUUACUCUUGAUUACUUCUUUUUAGGCAAAUAAGAUAAUAAUUUGCCUUGGUACUGAACUUUUAUCUUGAAUGGCACAAGGAGGGCGAGUAGGAGAUUGGGGCUGAAUAUGAAAAGAAUUUCUAAUUUCAACCCAUUGCUCUAAUUGUUAUUGCUCUCCGGAUAAAGGACACUGCUAAAGGAAGAGUUUAAUAAGGAUAUAAAGGAGUCUAGUAAGGAUUAAAGAACUAAUUCCUAUGCUUUGGCACAUUAUACUCCCCCACCCCACUUUAUAAGCAUGUAAUAUGCUUAGUAAGAUACCUGGAUGGGAGCGGGAGAGGGGGGGAGAGCCCUGAACGUAAACAUUUAGUAGCUCUUUCAUGCUUUCUUCACAUUUGUAACUGGAUUCACUUACUCCCUAGUUCUGGGAGAGAGGGAACAUUGGUUUUGGUUCUCCUCACUCUUUUGUAGAAUUCUGUUUAACAUUGUCUUAGUUGGUUUAACCUGGUUACUUUUCUCUCUCACCUUUUUGGUGGUGAUUUGGAGGAUGGGGAGGGAAGGAUAGUUCCUGGGUUUAGUUAUGAAUGUAUUUCAAUGCUAACAGUUUCUGCCAAAGAUGAUGUAUUUCGACUCAAGGCCUAUGAUAUAACAUUAGUCCAAUUGGUUAUAGCACUUGCAGUUGUUGACAUGGGUAAUCUGUCCUUUAAAGAUGGGUGAUUUAAAUAUUUUUUCAGUUAAUUGUAAUGGCUUAGUUUCUUAUCAAACAUUCUAAGGUGUUUAAAACAAAGGACAGAUAUAAUUUUUCUUCAAGAAACACGUACUAAAAGAGGAACAACAACAUUGUUUAGUUUAAUUAUCCUCAUCAGGGAUAGCAGCUGGAAGCUCGAAGUCCAAAGGAACUGCCACAUUGUUUUCCCCAAAUUGCUGAUUUACACCCUUGAAAGACUAUAAAGAUUCUUUUGGUCCGUUUGUAUAUAUUGAGGGCACAUUUUUGGAUAAACCCUUGUUACUGUGUUCCAUAUAUGCCCCAAAUACUCUGUCACUGAAAAUCUCUUUUAAAAACUUCAAAGUAUUAAGAUUCAAGAUUGGAUAAAUGGGUGUGGUUUUAACGUAACCAUAAACCCUGCUUUGGAUAGGUCAGCCUCCAAGUAUACUCCCAAUAUUUCUACUUCUAAGUUCCCUAUAGCAUAUCUCUCUAAGGAAGCUAAUUUGGUAGUUCCUUGGCAGUUGUUACACCCAGGGGAAGGGGAUUACACAUUCUUGUCUGCCAGACAUGAAACUUGUUCUAGGAUUGAUUAUGUUCUCAUCUCCAGUUCCCUACAGAAUGAUAUUCAAGAUGCUAUUAGUGAUAACAUUUGGACAGAUCUCAAUUGGAUAAUAUGCUCAUUAAGUUUUGAAAGUUCUAAUAACCCAAUUUCUUGGUUGAAAACUUAUUUAUUAUACAAUAAAGAUAUAUGCAAAACAUUGGAA